CAGGGAUUGCCCUAGUAACGGCGAGUGAAGCGGCAACAGCUCAAAUUUGGAAUCUGGCUCUCGGGCCCGAGUUGUAAUUUGUAGAGGAUACUUUUGAUGCGGUGCCUUCCGAGUUUCCUGGAACGGGACGCCAUAGAGGGUGAGAGCCCCGUCUGGUUGGAUGCCAAAUCUCUGUAAAGUUCCUUCAACGAGUCGAGUAGUUUGGGAAUGCUGCUCUAAAUGGGAGGUAUAUGUCUUCUAAAGCUAAAUACCGGCCAGAGACCGAUAGCGCACAAGUAGAGUGAUCGAAAGAUGAAAAGCACUUUGAAAAGAGAGUUAAAAAGUACGUGAAAUUGUUGAAAGGGAAGCGUUUAUGACCAGACUUGGGCUUGGUUAAUCAUCUGGGGUUCUCCCCAGUGCACUUUUCCAGUCCAGGCCAGCAUCAGUUUUCCCCGGGGGAUAAAGGCGGCGGGAAUGUGGCUCUCUUCGGGGAGUGUUAUAGCCCACCGUGUAAUACCCUGGGGGGGACUGAGGUUCGCGCAUCUGCAAGGAUGCUGGCGUAAUGGUCAUCAACGACCCGUCUUGAAACACGGACCAAGGAGUCGUCUUCGUAUGCGAGUGUUCGGGUGUCAAACCCCUACGCGUAAUGAAAGUGAACGCAGGUGAGAGCUUCGGCGCAUCAUCGACCGAUCCUGAUGUUCUCGGAUGGAUUUGAGUAAGAGCAUACGGGGCCGGACCCGAAAGAAGGUGAACUAUGCCUGUAUAGGGUGAAGCCAGAGGAAACUCUGGUGGAGGCUCGCAGCGGUUCUGACGUGCAAAUCGAUCGUCAAAUAUGGGCAUGGGGGCGAAAGACUAAUCG
RNAcentral lists this ribosomal RNA (838 nucleotides) under Fusarium nirenbergiae. RNAcentral's name for it is "partial large subunit ribosomal RNA". It matches the Rfam family "Eukaryotic large subunit ribosomal RNA", at positions 69 to 937 of the family's 3401-position model. The record is from RNAcentral. Lineage: Eukaryota; Fungi; Ascomycota; Sordariomycetes; Hypocreales; Nectriaceae.